CCAGAAGCUCCGCCCGCUCCGGAAGUCGUUAGCGCGGCAGUCUCCCUCCCCACCUGACCCAGCAGCGCCUUUAACUAGCAAUUCCUCUUGCACGGGGCUUUGGAGGCUAGCAAACUCCCACUUUUCCACAACCAGGUGGGUCCACAUUCUCUGAUCUGCAGCUACCCGUAGGCGUCCUUCCUAAAACUCCCCUUCUUCAAAGUCAUUGCUUCCUGCCCUUUGUGGAAACCACACCCUGUGCGCUUUGAAAAGAACAAACGACUGUGGAGCUGCUCGAGGACUCCUGAGAAGAGUCACUUUGUUGCUGCGCAGCCUUGUCCAACUCCCAGCAAGCCAGAUCCGCACACUAGCCGGCUUUUCCAGGAGGCAGAAGGGCCCUCAGCUGCCACCUCCUUCUGGCCUAUGUUGUGGAGGUUCCUCCAGCUUCGGCUGGGCGUUAGCUGAACCUGAGAUGUCAAAGUUCCUUGACGAAAUUGACCAAAGAAGCCACGAACCUAAAUGAGUAUGGAUUGAUACUACAAUGAAUUUCAAAAAUCUACAUUUACGGAUGCAUUUGAGACUAAAAGACUAUUUUGGGGUACAGGGAAAAUAUUAGUAUAUGUAACAUACAGUUGGUUGCUAUAUCUGCAACGCAUAACUAAAGUCCAUGUAUCAGUAAAAGAUAAACUGAUGACCCAGAAUACAGUAUAAAUAUACAAAUAAUAGAAGAUAUUCACAUGGCAAAUACACAUGACUUCCAGAUGAAUGAGAUAAAUUUAUCUGCCAGAUGGCGAACAAUAUUUUUAAGAAGUCAUUCAAUAAGAAAAAUAUACAUUUAUUGGGCAAUUACUAUGUUCCAGUAACUGUUGAGAGUUUUUGUGUUUUUGUUUACCUAAAAUGUAUACUCUAAGAGAACAAGGACCAUAAUUUGACUGUUUACCCUUGGAUCAUCACACUGUAACACAGCUGCUGGUUAUAAAGAGAAAGCAAUCACCUCAGUGGGUUCAGCUUCAAAAAUUGGGCUAUCCAACUACUUCUGGGGCCACAGGAGAAUGAUUAAUGAUUAACGACUGGCUACUUCCAAGGCUCACGGUGGGUGUCUGCAGAUGAGGGGCAGCUCAUCCUCAUAAGAUCCCAAGUGGAAAAGAUCUUAAGAUGGCUUUGUGCAGCAAGAUCUUGGGAGUCCACAAAGUGGACUGGAUUCUUUCUCCAGGGCAAUGUAAAGGGGUGGUAACUUACCAGCUCUCCAAAUUGGCUCAAGGAUACCAAGGGGCACAGGGUUCUUUAACAAUAAAUGCCUUAAUUAUCUUUUGCAUGAGCAGGGACUAGCAAGAACUUCUUCUCUUUUCCUCACUAUCAGUGUCCCUCUUGGUUCAGGGUUGAUAUUAAAAGGUAGCAUGAGAGUCCUGUAGAUUUAAUUCUCUUGUUUGGAAGGCCAUCAUGUAUCU
This is a non-coding RNA of Heterocephalus glaber (naked mole-rat), 1427 nucleotides long. The record is from RefSeq and is a predicted model, not a curated record. Lineage: Eukaryota; Metazoa; Chordata; Mammalia; Rodentia; Bathyergidae.